RNAcentral lists this ribosomal RNA (253 nucleotides) under uncultured bacterium. RNAcentral describes it as "partial 16S ribosomal RNA". It matches the Rfam family "Bacterial small subunit ribosomal RNA", at positions 524 to 776 of the family's 1533-position model. The record is from RNAcentral.
UACGGGGAGGGCAAGCGUUGUUCGGAAUUACUGGGCGUAAAGGGCUCGUAGGCGGCCAACUAAGUCAGACGUGAAAUCCCUCGGCUUAACCGGGGAACUGCGUCCGAUACUGGAUGGCUUGAGGUUGGGAGAGGGAUGCGGAAUUCCAGGUGUAGCGGUGAAAUGCGUAGAUAUCUGGAGGAACACCGGUGGCGAAGGCGGCAUCCUGGACCAAUUCUGACGCUGAGGAGCGAAAGCGUGGGGAGCAAACAGG